UUCUACUAUGCAUAUUUUGUGAAACGAGGUGCUUUCUCAUAAGUUCAACCCCAUUAGGGACAUCAAGCAUGGAAUGGCUGGAACAAAGCAUUUGUUCAUCUAUCAAUUCAGGUCAGUGGUCUCCCAUUCGUCUUUUCCGGUCAGGAUCGACGCUAUCUUAUUUUAUUUUAUCUUUGGGAAAGCUUAUUUAAGUCAGACUAGUUUAAUUAAUGAUUUGUUGGAUAAAUUAUGCGGUUUUUCUAGCCAUCAGGUGAAUGCUCAUAAAAACAACAUUUUCUUUUCUAAAGGGGUAAACAAAGAUUCAGCAGGACAUUUUUGUGAUAUGUUUUGUUUUCAUAAAUUCCAUAAUAUAGGAUCAUACUUGGGUAUCUCUUUUUUCUAAGAAAGAGUAAUUAUUAGCUCCUUGAGGUUUGUGGUGGAAAAAGUUAUAUCUAAGUUGCAAAGGUGGGAUACGAAGCAGCUGUAUCUACCUGGUAAAGUUACUUUAGCACAAUUAGUCUUACUUACAAUUCCUAGCUAUUUGAUACAGUCAUUGAGGAUUCUGAAAGGAAUUGGAACCUUGGGUUUAAUCGUAGAAUGGGGAAAUAUUUGGUAUUCGAAGCUGAAUUGUAGGGUAUUCUCGAUGGUGUGGCGUUAGUACAAAGAAGGCAACAAGACAGGAUAUUGGUACAGACAAAUAAUAUGAAAGUUAUUAGAGCUAUCAAGGAAGCAUUGUCGAAGCGGUCAAAUUCAACAAUAAUCAGGCGGACAACUCAGCUUUUGCAAAGUGUAGAGAAUUGGUCAAUUAAACAUGUCCUUAAAAGAAGAAAAUGCUGAAGUUGAUCGUAUUGCCAAGUUGGCCUUUGAUAAGGGGAAAGCUUACAAUUAUAUAUAGAUUCUCCUUUUGACUCUUUCUAGCUUUUUAUAAAGUAUUUUAAUUUAUUCAGCAAAUAUAUAUAUGCCAAAUAAACGUAAAAGAGCAAUGGUUAAGCUCUUUUGACAUUUUGAAUGUCAGGUUC
Molecule: long non-coding RNA, 998 nt
Filed under: Gossypium barbadense (sea-island cotton)
Lineage: Eukaryota; Viridiplantae; Streptophyta; Magnoliopsida; Malvales; Malvaceae
Description: long non-coding RNA (GBAR_LNC001731)
Source: RNAcentral